This 558-nucleotide ribosomal RNA is filed under the name Dentiscutata heterogama. RNAcentral describes it as "partial small subunit ribosomal RNA". The record is from RNAcentral. Lineage: Eukaryota; Fungi; Glomeromycota; Glomeromycetes; Diversisporales; Gigasporaceae.
UUUGGAGGGGGCAAGUCUGGUGCCAGCAGCCGCGGUAAUUCCAGCUCCAAUAGCGUAUAUUAAAGUUGUUGCAGUUAAAAAGCUCGUAGUUGAAUUUCGGGGUUCCACCGUUGGUCGGGCUAWUGUYUGUACUGGCGUGUGGAAUUUCUACCUUCUGGGGAACUAUCAUGUUAUUAAUUUAGCGUGGUAGGAAACCAGGACCUUUACCUUGAAAAAAUUAGAGUGUUCAAAGCAGGCUUAUGUCUGAAUACAUUAGCAUGGAAUAAUAAAAUAGGACGGUGGUCCUGUUUUGUUGGUUUCURAAUCACCGUMAUGAUUAAUAGGGAWAGUUGGGGGCAUUAGUAUUCAAUUGUCAGAGGUGAAAUUCUUGGAUUUAUUGAAGACUAACUACUGCGAAAGCAUUUGCCAAGGAUGUUUUCAUUAAUCAAGAACGAAAGUUAGGGGAUCGAAGACGAUCAGAUACCGUCGUAGUCUUAACCAYMAACUAUGCCGACUAGGAUCGACGAGMCGCACCGACGRCMURACCURWAGGACCAUUCUGUCWAAUUAACUAAGAUC